This is a long non-coding RNA of Hyposmocoma kahamanoa, 223 nucleotides long. RefSeq lists it as uncharacterized. Lineage: Eukaryota; Metazoa; Arthropoda; Insecta; Lepidoptera; Cosmopterigidae. The transcript is spliced from 3 exons. The record is from RefSeq and is a predicted model, not a curated record.
CAGGCGGGUUCGCGUCGUCGCCGUGGGCGGCCAUGCUGGGCCACGGCAUGCAUGGCAUGAUGCAGCAUGAAUACACUCAUGCUCAUGCGCACGCAUCGAUGCCUAUGGAUCUCCAUGUUCCUCAACCGUUUCCUUAUUAUCGGUAUAGAGACGACGCUCUGUGUUGGUCUGAUAGAAAGCCGUCUGUCGAUGGAGUGGGCAACGCGGCGUCGGUCAACAGUCG